GUCGAACGAAGCACUUUAUUUGAUUUCCUUCGGGACUGAUUAUUUUGUCACUGAGUGGCGGACGGGUGAGUAACGCGUGGGUAACCUGCCUUGUACAGGGGGAUAACAGUUGGAAACGGCUGCUAAUACCGCAUAAGCGCACAGCAUCGCAUGAUGCAGUGUGAAAAACUCCGGUGGUAUAAGAUGGACCCGCGUUGGAUUAGCUAGUUGGUGAGGUAACGGCCCACCAAGGCGACGAUCCAUAGCCGACCUGAGAGGGUGACCGGCCACAUUGGGACUGAGACACGGCCCAAACUCCUACGGGAGGCAGCAGUGGGGAAUAUUGCACAAUGGGCGAAAGCCUGAUGCAGCGACGCCGCGUGAGCGAAGAAGUAUUUCGGUAUGUAAAGCUCUAUCAGCAGGGAAGAUAAUGACGGUACCUGACUAAGAAGCACCGGCUAAAUACGUGCCAGCAGCCGCGGUAAUACGUAUGGUGCAAGCGUUAUCCGGAUUUACUGGGUGUAAAGGGAGCGCAGGCGGUGCGGCAAGUCUGAUGUGAAAGCCCGGGGCUCAACCCCGGUACUGCAUUGGAAACUGUCGUACUAGAGUGUCGGAGGGGUAAGCGGAAUUCCUAGUGUAGCGGUGAAAUGCGUAGAUAUUAGGAGGAACACCAGUGGCGAAGGCGGCUUACUGGACGAUAACUGACGCUGAGGCUCGAAAGCGUGGGGAGCAAACAGGAUUAGAUACCCUGGUAGUCCA
This 738-nucleotide ribosomal RNA is filed under the name uncultured bacterium. Its description in RNAcentral is "bacterial SSU rRNA". It matches the Rfam family "Bacterial small subunit ribosomal RNA", at positions 61 to 797 of the family's 1533-position model. The record is from RNAcentral.